Molecule: transfer RNA, 73 nt
Filed under: Spirochaetes bacterium GWE1_32_154
Lineage: Bacteria; Pseudomonadati; Spirochaetota
Also listed under: 4 other names
Description: tRNA-Lys
Rfam family: tRNA
About the family: Transfer RNA (tRNA) molecules are approximately 80 nucleotides in length. Their secondary structure includes four short double-helical elements and three loops (D, anti-codon, and T loops).
Source: RNAcentral
GACCUGUUAGCUCAGUCGGUAGAGCAACGCCCUUUUAAGGCGUGGGUCGAAAGUUCGAAUCUUUCACAGGUCA